Molecule: long non-coding RNA, 575 nt
Organism: Daphnia carinata
Lineage: Eukaryota; Metazoa; Arthropoda; Branchiopoda; Diplostraca; Daphniidae
Exons: 3
Source: RefSeq, a predicted model, not a curated record
GUAAGGAGGGAAAAAUAGAAGUUGGUGUUUUAUUUCACUGAUUGUGCGCUAUUUUGUACGUUUAACACUAAACGCGUUAUUUCACGUUUUAUUGGGCAUUUUGCGUCAAGGUGAUCUCCAACCUCGCUUAAGUGGCGAAAGUUAACUAGAAGAUCAGAAGAAACGAACCGACUUUCUGAGGAAAAGAUUUCUGCAUACCAGCACUUUCAAUACAUGCGGCAUCCAAGAGGUAAUAGGAAUUGUAACACCCUGAGUUAAAUGCGUCUGUAUUCUUUUGAAAUUCGUUGAAAUCGAUACUAAACAAGAAAAAAAGAACAGCUUGAAAAACAAAAGCUCGACGUCAAGUUCAAGGAAACUUCUUUCAGCAAAUCGGGAUAGAAUUGUUUUCCUAGGGGAACGUACCCAUUACCGGCAUUUGAUGUUUUAAAGAGAUUUGUUUUUUUCCCUAAGAAGCCAACUCUUGUCCUCUACCCGUGACACCAGGUAAGAAAAAGAAAUUCGCUUGUGAAGAAAACUGAGCUGAAUGCGUUUAUUUCGUUGAAAAAAUUCUAUUGGAUAUUUGAGAAGGAAUGUAA